This is an RNA transcript of Lotus japonicus, 3693 nucleotides long. RefSeq lists it as uncharacterized. NCBI's taxonomy places the organism in Eukaryota, Viridiplantae, Streptophyta, Magnoliopsida, Fabales, Fabaceae. The transcript has 2 exons. The record is from RefSeq and is a predicted model, not a curated record.
UCAUCUGCCACUGUGAGAAAGUUAACCACUGAGUUGCAGAUUCCAGUAAAGUGCAUUAAAUUUUCACAACCUCCAACCCAACUCCCCCAAUAUUCUUUCACUUUCUUCUUCACUCACCACUCCUCCUUUGAUGCAAGUGGGAACAUCCCACCAAACCUUGAGUCAGAGAUUCACCUCAAUCCACCCACUUCAUCUAUGGCUGCAUUUACCACUUCCCAUUACUUCAAAACCUUAACUUUCUUCAUUUUAUUCCUCAAAACCCUAGCUUUUCAUCCAGCUCCAUUGUUUUCUUUUGCUGAUUUUGAAAAAGAUCCAAAAUUUAACUCCACUGUGGCCCUUUAUGGUAAUGCAAAGGUUGUGAGGUCCUGGAUUCAUUUCUCUGGUUCAGGGAGUUCAAGCUCUGGGAAGGUCUUAUACAAGAAGCCUAUCAAGCUUGUUGAAGGUAAACCAAGACAAUUAGUCUCCUUUUCAACUUACUUUGCAUUUUCCAUCCCCUUGGAUAGUGAGGGUGGUUUGGCUUUUGUUCUGUUUCCAAAAGGUUCUAAAGGUGAUGUUUUUAAUCAAAGUUUAUCUGGGUUUCCUUUUGGAUUAAAAAGUACAAAUUUUGAAGCUAUUGGUGUUAAGUUUAGUGCUUCAAGGAAUAGUGGAAAUGGGGUUUCUGCUAAUUGUAAUGUGACCAUGUAUGUGGGUAAUUCAGUUCUAGCUAAAAAAAGUUACAACUCCUCUAUCAAUUUGGCUUUGAGAAAUGAAGAUAUGUUGCAUGCUUGGAUUGAUUAUGAAGCAAGUUCAAGGCGCUUAGAAGUUAGAUUGAGCAAACAUGGUGGUAAUUCAAGGCCUUCUGAUCCAUUUCUCUGGCACUCAAUUGACAUAACCAAUGUGUUGAAGGAGAAAGAAAUGCUUAUGGGAUUUAGUUCUGUGAAGGGGAAUGCUUGCUUUCUCUAUUCAUGGAGCUUUGUUUUAAGGCAUUUUCCACAUUCAGUGCAUUCAGAUCCUCUGGAUCCGAAGGUUUUUGUUGAAAACAUUGAAUCUCCAAUGGUUAGACCAGGGACAAGGAGUGAUUGCUUUUUGAGAAUUCUUGCUGCUAUUAUAUUUGGUACAGGAUGUGGAGCAUUGGUUGCAUUUAUUGUUCUUUACUUUUGGACCAUCUUUAGCAAUAGACGUGUAGUGGUGCCAGAGGAAUCUGUUAUGCAACCUGUUGAUGUUGAGUAUAGGAAAGUCAAAAUUGUUGUAGACAAAACCAUCGAAGAUGGUAAGAAGUAGUUCUUCAUGAGGGAACUUGUUUGAAUGUCUUUGUAAAUUUAAUGUUCUUUUGUAUUUAGUUUUUUGCUCUAUUUUAGUCUGGUAAGGAACUAUCUAUUUGAUUUCUCUUACAUUGUCUAUUGUUGAUCAUAUUGAGAUUGAGAUUCAGCUCUUCUUCAAAGAAAGCUUAUAUUUCGUGGAAGAUCCAAAUUGGAGUUAUUAAUGAACUGUAAGAGGCUGUUGACAGAUUGUAUUAUAUGAUGAAUUGAUGAUGUAUUGAAUGAUCAUGAUAAAACUUUAUUAUGUGUUUGAUCAUGACAAAAAAUGAUAGAGGGAAAUGUGUAGUGUUUUGAUGGGCUGUGCUCACUGUUUUGAUGAUGAUGUCUAAUAUGAGUCACCAACAAAAGUGACUCAUGUUAUACUACAAAUUAGUAGAGGGAAUUUUUACUGGUCGUCUAUUUUACUUGACAUUCAGCCACCCCCACAUGUGCCAUCAUCACCAUCACCUCCGGCCACUCAUCCUCCAGAGCCUCCCUCCACCAAAAUCACAGGAAAAGGAGUUAUGUUCUUUUUUCAUGAUCUUGGCAUAACACCCCACCCCAUCCUGGUUGAUCUAUGGACAAGGUUGGUGGUUGGCACUGUGUGACAGGGGUUUGGGGUGGCUUAUUCACUUAUGGAGCAACACGGUUGCUUACAAGGAUUGAGUUUGAGGGUCUAGUCGUAUGGUGUGGGAGGCUAGGUGAAGGGGCUGUUAUGGAGGUCUUUUGGUUGUUCUGGGAAGGGCAAGUCGUGCUGCACAGGUUAGGCCUAACCAUUUGUCCCAACCCCUUAACCGAACUUUCCUUAAAACAAAUUGGAAUACUCACUCCAAGAGGUGCCUCUUAGAAUUUUGGGUCACAAAUGUAACUUUUAAUUGUGUUAGGGCCAUUAUUUAAUUAGCCAAAAUUAAAGUGGUCUAUUUAAUAUUGAUCUUAUGGCGAAUGACAUAUGUGUUAUGAAAAGGUAUUGUGCAGAUACCAUAAGGCAAUAUUCUAAUUUGAUGAGGGGCCAAAUUAGAAAUAUUGAAAACAUAAUUGUAACUGAUGCAGUUACUUAUAGGGUUAUGGUCUCCAAUUGUAGAUACAACGUAACAACGUAAAAAGUUUCUCCUCAUCCCCAUUAGAGGAGAACAUCAGGAAACCCUAAGGGUGAUCUACAAUUGGAAGAUCACAACCCCAAAUCCUUCAGCGAUUCCCAUGGCUCAUUCAGCAACUAUUGGUUCGAUAUCUGCUAAUCUAAAUUCGGUUCCGGUCCUUGAUGGAACAAAUUUUAAGGACUGGAAAGAGAACAUGGAAAUUGUUCUUGGCUGCAUGGAUCUUGACCUUGCACUAAGGGUGGAGAAACCCGCUUCUCCUACGGAAUCUAGUACCUCUGAACAGAGGAAAGAUUAUGAGAAGUGGGAUCGCUCCAAUCGCAUGAGUCUUAUGAUCAUUAAGCGCGGCAUUCCUGAGGUCUUUAGGGGUACUAUCUCGGAAGAGAUAAAAGGUGCCAAAGAUUUCCUUGCUGAAAUUGAAAAGCGCUUUGCAAAAAGCGAUAAGGCGGAAACAAGUACUCUUCUUCAGAACUUGAUUUCCAUGAAAUAUCAGGGCAAAGGAAAUAUAAGGGAAUACAUUAUGGGCAUGUCAAAUAUUGCUUCAAAACUUAAGGCGCUAAAGCUUGAGCUGUCGGAUGACUUGCUCAUUCAUUUAGUAUUGCUUUCUCUUCCUGCACAAUUCAGUCAGUUUAAGAUAUCUUAUAACUGUCAAAAGGAGAAAUGGUCUCUUAACAAGCUCAUUUCAUUUUGUGUGCAAGAAGAGGAAAGGUUAAAGCAAGAAAUGAAAGAAAGUGCGCAUUUUGUUAGCACCUCUAAAGACAAGGCCAAAAGAAAGAAAACUGUUGAGCCCAAGAAUGAAGCUGCUGAUGCUCCAGCACAAAAGAAACAGAAAGAGGAUGAUACCUGUUACUUUUGCAAUGUGUCUGGGCAUAUGAAAAAGAAAUGUGCUAAAUAUCACGCUUGGCGUGCAAGGAAAGGUACAUUUUUUGCUUUGGUCUGUUCUGAGGUCAAUUUAGCUUCAGUACCUAGAAACACUUGGUGGUUAGACUCUGGUGCAACUACUAACAUCAGUGUUUCAAUGCAGGGUUGCCUAAGCUACCAGAAGCCAAAUGAUGUUGAAAGAUACAUCUAUGUUGGAGAUGGCAAGACGGUGGAGGUGGAAGCUAUAGGGCAUUUUAGAUUAUUAUUGUGUACUGGAUUUUAUUUGGAUUUGAAAGACACUUUUGUGGUACCGUCAUUUAGACGGAAUUUAAUUUCAGUUUCUAAUUUGGACAAAUCAGGUUAUUCAUGUUCAUUUGGAAACAGUAAAGCCGAGUUGUCUUUUAAUUCAAAUAUUGUUGGAACCGGUUCACUUAUUGGAUAUGAUAAUCUGUAUUUGCUGA